This 497-nucleotide ribosomal RNA is filed under the name uncultured bacterium. RNAcentral's name for it is "partial 16S ribosomal RNA". It matches the Rfam family "Bacterial small subunit ribosomal RNA", at positions 28 to 507 of the family's 1533-position model. The record is from RNAcentral.
GAUGAACGCUGGCGGCGUGCCUAAUACAUGCAAGUCGAGCGAACAGACGAGGAGCUUGCUCCUCUGACGUUAGCGGCGGACGGGUGAGUAACACGUGGAUAACCUACCUAUAAGACUGGGAUAACUUCGGGAAACCGGAGCUAAUACCGGAUAAUAUAUUGAACCGCAUGGUUCAAUAGUGAAAGACGGUUUUGCUGUCACUUAUAGAUGGAUCCGCGCCGCAUUAGCUAGUUGGUAGGGUAACGGCUUACCAAGGCGACGAUGCGUAGCCGACCUGAGAGGGUGAUCGGCCACACUGGAACUGAGACACGGUCCAGACUCCUACGGGAGGCAGCAGUAGGGAAUCUUCCGCAAUGGGCGAAAGCCUGACGGAGCAACGCCGUGUGAGUGAUGAAGGUCUUCGGAUCGUAAAACUCUGUUAUUAGGGAAGAACAAAUGUGUAAGUAACUAUGCACGUCUUGACGGUACCUAAUCAGAAAGCCACGGCUAACUACGUG